AGCAGAAACUGAGAAACAGCAAAAACACUGUGAUGAGCAAAUGCACACAAGACAAUUUUGCUGCAGAGAAAUCAAUGACUGGAACACUGAAAAGGUGAACCUGGAAGAAAAAUUCAUGGGCACAAAGGCAUUUAUAUCUCAGAACUGGCUGCCCUGCCCUGCCUGCUAACACAGACCCCAGGCAGGAAGUCUGCCCGUCAUUCUAUCAAGAACAACAUCAAUGCUUCACCCAAACCGACACCACCACAAACCCUCAAUCCCGGGGUGGAGGGGUGGCGGUAAUAUGUUUACAGAGGACUGGAACUCACCAACGUCACCUCAAGGGGAGAGCCUGGCUAGAUUCUAGAUUACACUUGCUUUUUCCCACUGAGAGUUACUAGGGGCCAUCAUCUCUCCUACCGCCAACCCUGCUGUUGGCAGCCCUGUGGCUGUGCAGGAGCGAGCAGCUGUGGAGGGGGUCCAGCUCCUGGAGGGAGGGAGGGAGGAGGCCUGCAGGGGAAGGAGCCUGCAGCGCGUGGAAGGAAAAAGGUGACUAUCUGCUAGGUUUUUCUAGGGCUGCUUAUAUUUCUGAAGAACAUACUUGGAAAAAUGAAGGCUUAAAAAUAACAGAAUGCAUUUCUAUUGACAGAAUUUUGGGUCAGAGGAUGAAGCCAGGUGCAGAGGCAACCCCCAACCCCACUGAGACCUAAUCUGCCCUCUCUGGGGAGGGGUGUGUGGUGUCCGCAGGGUGAGUUCCUGCUGCUGUUCUUGCUCCUUCCAGCACGUGGAGGGUGGCCGUCACCAUCUGCCCACUCUGAGGCUGGUUUGUCCUCAGGACAUAGUGUUGGCCAAUGAUGUGUGGCCAAGGUGAGAGAUGACACUUGUAGCCAUAAGGACUUGUGGGUGACACGCUUUCCCUCUGCGCCACAGGGACAGGCCUGUGGGGUGGGGAGGCUCCUCGGGCAGGGCCUGGAGGGAGUGCAGGCUGAUGGCUGACAGACAGCACCAGGAAACCAGAUGUAAGCUCUUCCGAGGUUAAGCCCUUGAGAUUCUGGAGGUGCCUGUUACCUGCAAUGGCCGAGCCUCUCCUACUGACAGAGAAGAGGGCAGCCAGGAAGAACCCGUUCCUCAUGAGUAGAAAAUUCUAACACUCGAUAUCUGAGAGUCUCCCCACUCCUGAACUGAGUACGUAACACAACACGUACAUAUUUCAAAAUUCCGAAACAAUUUUUUUACUUUUUUUUCGAUUUUGGAAGUUGAAACUCAAAAGUUGGGGAAAAACAAGGUAAGAAGACAGAGAAUUCAGAACCCAGGAGGUCUCACGGAAGGAAAGUGGGGAACUGGUACUUGGAGCUGCCUCUCUGAGGCGCCCGGGCAUCUCGCACACCCUCCCUCCCUCCCUUCCUUUCUUCCGGGCUGAAUGGAGCAAAUGUCCCUCCUUCUGUGAGGGCCAGUCCUUCCACGGGGGCUUGGGGUCCCCUCACCUUCUCAGGAACUGGGCCCCUAGGGUGGUUCUCUCCCUCCUAGAACCAACCCACUGACACACCAAAAUAAUCUUAACAGGACAUGCCACUGACUUCAUACACCCCACACCACUGAACUUCUCAAAAGCCUGUCCACUUCCUCUCCCCUCAAACCUCCUCCCUGAUCCUGAACUUACUGCCACGAAAGCUAUCGAAGGCCCAGUUUGUAAAUGUCUUACAAAAUUACGAUUUGAUUUUUUUGAUUGAUUUGCUUUCUUAGCACAGCUAUACAAGUUAUUCCACAGGAAGAAAAUGACAAACUUGGAAAGCAGACUGGAGAAGGAGGAAGAGAGUGGGAAGAUAUAACCCUCAACUGUUAAAAGUCAGAGACGUUCCGUUCAUCUAUCAGGGAUUAUUUCUUCUAAAUUUUUUAAAAAACAUUUAAAAUGUAAGCCUUUCAGAUUACAGCAUUAAUAGAAAAUUGCUGCAACUAGGAAAAUAAUACAAUACCGACUAAUGCAUGAGAACAAAGCGAAUCCCUCAAUCCCUCAGUAACAGCCACCCACGAGAAACCAAUACUCAAGUCUUCUUCAACUUACGAUGGGGCUGCAUCCCGAUACACCCAUCGUAAGUUAAAAAACAUAAGAAGUUUAAAUGCACUGAAUACAUCUAACCUACAGAACAUCAUAGCCUCGCCUGACCUACCUUAAAAGUGCUCAGAACACUACAGUUAGGAAAAUAGUCUAACACAAAGCCUAUUUUAUAAUAAAGUGUUGAGUAACUCAUAUAAUUUAUUAACACUGUGCUGAAGGUGGAAAACAGGAUGGCUGUCUCGGUGCGGAAUGGCUGUAAGCGUACCGGCUGUUCCGGCUCGUGAUCGCACGGCUGCCGCGGAGCUGCGUUUGCCGCUGCCCAGCGUCGCGAGAGAGUAUGUUACUGCAUCUCUCUCACCCAGGAAAAGGUCAACAUGCAAAAUUCGAAGUACAGUUUGUACCAAACGUGACUGCGUUCACACCAUCAUACAGUCAAUCCCUUGCAAGUCUAACAACUCGCUGUAAGUCGGGGAUCACCUAUAUGUGAACACCAUGCACAGACGUCCUCGCCUCUUUCUCAAUAUACCCUCUCCAGCCACCGGUCGGCCCCCACUGUGCACUGCUAGUGCUGUUGUCAAGACCGUCAGUGAAUCCGCCUCAUCAAAUCCAAGAACUCUCCUUCCUUAUUUGACCAACCAAACACAUUGAGUGUCACCUGCUACUCCCUCCUUUUCACACCCUCCCCUUGGCUUCCUGGUCUACCUGGUCUGCAUCUGCUGGUUUUCCUUGCACCUCUGUGGUUGCUUCUUAGGCUCUUUGCUGGCUCUUCCUUCUCCAACCAACCCCUAGAUGUGGGGCUCCUGAGGGCUCAGUCCUGAGCCUUCUCCACUCUUUACAUGUUCCUCCGUAUGAUUCUGUCCCUGCCCCUGGAUUUAAAUAACACACUUACACUGAAGAAGCCCACAUUUAUAACUCCAACCCAGAUCUCUCUUUGGACCAUAAGACCCAAAUAUCUAAGUCCAUCCUUGACAUCAUCACUUCGAUAAAAACUUAACAGGCACCACAAACUUGACAGGUCCAAAACAUUUCUCCUCCCCAACCACUGCCAACAACUUGACACCAGCUGCUCAGAUUCAAAACCUCAGAGUCAUCCUUGAUGUGUCCCUUUCCCUCCCCUCCACAUGCAAUCCCUCACUCCAUCCUGUUGGAUGUACCUUCCUGGUGUAUUCCAAACUCACUUUUCCCCACAUUCUACGUCUACGUUUUAGUCCAGGCCACCUUAUCUCUUACCUGGUCUGCUGUUACGGAUGACUACUGGCUCUCUCUACAUCCACACCUAUCCUUUACAUCUAUUACCCACAAAACCCAAGAUGGUUUUCUUACAUCAGACAUGUCACCUUCCAGCAAAAACCCCAAAGGGAAUCCCACCACACUUGGGAUUCCAAACGAACUCCUAACAUGGCCACAAAACCCUGCCUUUCCACACGCCCAUUUCCUCUUUACUUACCACACCCCAGUCUUCUCUCAGGUCCUCUCUAAAGCCAAGUGAUUUGUACUCAGGGCCUUUGCUCUAACAUGCUGGGCUCCUCUUCCCUCAUUUUCAUACAGUUUGCUCCCUCUCAGCUUUUAAGUUGCCACUUAAAUGAAAACUCAAGGGAACUUCUGUUGCCGACUGAAUUCACACCAGGCCCCUCUGUCACUCUGGGGAACAGUCCCUGUUUAUUUCAUUCACAGCCCUUGUUCCAACUUGCAACGUUCAUAUUUUCGGUUCGCUUGCUUUUGCCCGUAUUUCCCAUAAGAGCAAAGACCACUUCUCUCUGGGUCACUGCUACAUUCCCAGGGUUUAGCCCAAUGCUUGGCAUAGAGUAAAUUCUUAAUAAAUACAGGGACUGCAUAAAUGAACGUGGUUUUUCCCCAUCCCACCUCCACCAA
Non-coding RNA from Vicugna pacos (alpaca), 3907 nucleotides. The record is from RefSeq and is a predicted model, not a curated record. Lineage: Eukaryota; Metazoa; Chordata; Mammalia; Artiodactyla; Camelidae.